UAAGCAUAUCAAUAAGCGGAGGAAAAGAAACCAACAGGGAUUGCCCUAGUAACGGCGAGUGAAGCGGCAACAGCUCAAAUUUGAAAUCUGGCUCCCUAGGGGGUCCGAGUUGUAAUUUGCAGAGGAUGCCUCGGGUGCGGGUUCCUUCCGAGUUCCCUGGAACGGGACGCCAUAGAGGGUGAGAGCCCCGUCUGGUCGGAUACCCAGCCCGUGUGAGGCUCCCUCGACGAGUCGAGUAGUUUGGGAAUGCUGCUCUAAGGGGAGGUAUACUCCUUCCAAGGCUAAAUACCGGCUAGAGACCGAUAGCGCACAAGUAGAGUGAUCGAAAGAUGAAAAGCACUUUGAAAAGAGAGUCAAAUAGCACGUGAAAUUGUUGAAAGGGAAGCGCUUGCUACCAGACUUGGGUUCGGCGGUUCAACCGGCGCCACGCGCCGGGGCACUCCGCCGGCCCAGGCCAGCAUCAGCUCUCCGUCGGGGGCAAAGACGCCGGGAAUGUAGCUCCCCCCCGGGGGAGUGUUAUAGCCCGGCGUGUCAUACCCUUCGGGGGGCUGAGGUCCGCGCUCCGCAAGGAUGCUGGCGUAAUGGUAGUCAGCGACCCGUCUUGAAACACGGACCAAGGAGUCAACCUUAUGUGCAAGUGCCCGGGCGUAAAACCCCAGCGCGUAAUGAAAGUGAACGUAGGUGAGAGCUUCGGCGCAUCACCGACCGAUCCUGAUGUCCUCGGACGGAUUUGAGUGAGAGCAUAUAGGGUUGGACCCGAAAGAAGAUGAACUAUGCGUGUGUAGGGUGAAGCCAGAGGAAACUCUGGUGGAGGCUCGCAGCGGUUCUGACGUGCAAAUCGAUCGUCAAACAUGCGCAUGGGGGCGAAAGACUAAUCGAAUCUUCUGGUAGCUGGUUUCCGCCGAA
This 906-nucleotide ribosomal RNA is filed under the name Chlamydosporiella restricta. Its description in RNAcentral is "LSU rRNA". It matches the Rfam family "Eukaryotic large subunit ribosomal RNA", at positions 35 to 965 of the family's 3401-position model. Lineage: Eukaryota; Fungi; Ascomycota; Sordariomycetes; Glomerellales; Plectosphaerellaceae. The record is from RNAcentral.